Molecule: ribosomal RNA, 324 nt
Filed under: uncultured eukaryote
Lineage: Eukaryota
Description: partial 18S ribosomal RNA
Rfam family: Eukaryotic small subunit ribosomal RNA
Source: RNAcentral
CCCUUAGAUGUUCUGGGCUGCACGCGCGCUACACUGACACACUCAGCGAGUUCCUGUACCGAGAGGUUCGGGUAAUCAUGUGAGCGUGUGUCGUGAUGGGGAUAGAAUAUUGUAAUUAUUGCUCUUCAACGAGGAAUUCCUAGUAAGCGCAAGUCAGCAGCUUGCGCUGAUUACGUCCCUGCCCUUUGUACACACCGCCCGUCGCUCCUACCGAUUGAAUGGUCCGGUGAAGCGUUCGGACCGUGGCCUUUGGACGGUUCGCCGUCUGUUGGCUGCGGGAAGUUCGUUAAACCUUAUCAUUUAGAGGAAGGAGAAGUCGUAACA